RNA transcript from Chenopodium quinoa (quinoa), 3519 nucleotides. RefSeq lists it as uncharacterized. The transcript is spliced from 13 exons. The record is from RefSeq and is a predicted model, not a curated record. Lineage: Eukaryota; Viridiplantae; Streptophyta; Magnoliopsida; Caryophyllales; Amaranthaceae.
AAAAACCGGUAAGAGUUGAAGUGUAGUUAAGGUCGAGCGACUCGAGCCUAAUGUACACAAUACACAAGAUCGAAUAGCCCAAAGUUUAGGGCGGGAGACUUCACUCUUUCUCUCUCCUCAGUUUCUUCAAUUACAUGUCAAUUACAAUCAACAAAUCCAAGAGCUUCAGAUCAAACUCUGAUCCAUUUUUUGUCAGUUGAAUUCGUUGAUUAAUUUUCUGGGCAAAUCCAAUAACCCAAGUGAGCCCAACUUUAAACUCAAUUAGCACCGCCGAGGUGGGACCCAUUAUUGGUGUUGGGGCUCAGGUUUAAUGCUCUCAAAGUACUGCAAUUUAUGGCGCCAAAUCUUCUCGUGAUUUUUUGGUAGCUGACUAUUUUUUCUGGAAAUGGAUCGUUCUUGGAUGUAUGGUAAACGCAACACACGUGAAUUCUUGGACGGGGUUAAGGAGUUCUGUAGAUGUGCUAAAGAGCACCAAAAGAGUAGUGGAGAUGAUGAAAUUUACUGCCCUUGUCGUGACUGCUUCACUGUAAAGAAAUUUAGUGAUAUUAAAAUCAUAGAAGAACAUUUGAUUCGUCGUGGGUUUAGGCAAGCGUACCAUGUGUGGCUUUGGCAUGGUGAAAGACUAGCUUCUAGGGAAACUUCUAGUGUACAUGAUAUUCAGCUGGAGGAGAGUGAUGAAUCUGAUGAGAGUGAACGUGAGAGCUGUGAGAGUGAUGUAGGGGAUGAAGACAAUGAUGACGAGGAAGAUCACAUGGAUGAGAUGAUGGAUGGGGUAGGGGAUCAUUUAAAUGAACGAGACAACAAACGAAGUAGGGGUCCAUCGAAAGAGGUUCAAGUCAAAGAGCCUAUGUUUCUUGAGUAUGAUGAUCUUGGUCAGCCAACAGGUGAUUGGGAGCACGUGUAUGGGAGACAUCUUGGCUGCUGUGCUAAAAAAAUUAACAUUAAUGUCAAGCGGUAUCGAUUAGUACCUGAAGCCGACAAGCAAAAAUUUUGGGAUAAGACAAAGGCUUUGUUCCACAUUGAAGAUGGUCCGAAAAAGGAAAAGGAAAAGUUGUUUCAUUCUGGAGUGGCCAACCGAUUCAGAGGUUUUAAGGCAAAGUUAGUGAGUCGUUGGAUCACUAAGACAAGGAAGCCUCCGGAAAAGAGUGCACACUUAAUGCCCUGGGAAAUUUACAAGGGAUUCAUCACGAAAGCGGACUGGAAAAAAUUUGAAGGAGAUCGUACCACUGAUGAGGCAAAGGCUAUUAGUGACAAGGCAAGGAAGAACGCAAUACAGAACAAGUACUAUCAUCACUUAGGGUCAAAGAGUUACAAGAGGAGCAAAGCACAGUGGAUCAAGGACGGAAGGUACCCUACUGACACCGAUGGAGCACCAUCUUGUAGAAUAGCUAAGCGAGGCUUGGAAUGGAUUUUGGCAAGACAAGUGCCUGGUGAAGGAGGAACUUGGGUUAUCACAAACGAUGAAACACGGAAAGUUGCCAAAAAAUAUGAGGAUUAUACGCAAAAGCAGGCCCAAGGGACUUUUAUUCCACAGAGGAAUGUGGAUGCCCUGUGCAUGGCUCUUGGGAAAAAAGAUCAUUCUGGCCGUGUCUAUGGAGUAGGGGGACUUAAUGUUGGCUAUUGCAAGGCCUUUGGCAAGCCAGAUCAAAAGGUCUCUGAAUUGAACCAAAGUCAGCAAUCAUUGGAGGAAAUGAAGGAGGCAAUCAAAGCUACCUUGGUAGAGGAAUUUGAACAGAAGCUGAAAGAUCAAGUCGAAAUGCAGGUCAAGCAGGCACUGGCCUCCAUGAGGCCGCAAUUGCCCCAAGUCACCAGUUCCAAUCUACCACCACCUAUGUUGAAGGCUUUGAAAACAUGUCGUCUUGCUGUGUGGGAUGCCUACUCUGGGAACAAAGUUGUUGUAGCAGGUGGUACGGCAUAUCCCUAUGGUGAUGGGCCAAUGUACAAUCAAUCGAUCAAGCCUGGCCACAUGAAGGUAUGUAUCAAUGAUCCUUACAGUGAUUUUGUCGAUGUUGACCUCCCGGUACCUACGGAAGAAGGUGUCACUAAGAUUGGUGAAGCUCGAGACAAUUUCGUGCAAUGGCCCGCAGCCUUGGUGUUGUUUGAAGACGAGGAGGCCACACCAGAAAAAAGGUGUGAAGGAAGCAGCAAUGAAAAACUUGAUAGCAGCGAUCUUCAAUUGCAACAAGUUGGGGAAGACAUGGUUGCUUCCAUUGGUGAGAAAAGUAAGCUGUUGCAUUUGCAACUUGUCAUGGCAAGUCAACCUGAGCGGUAUGAUGUCACAACGGUUCCGUUGGAUGCAAAAGUGUUCCACUUAGAAAAGGACACUGAAACUUUUAUCACAGUGGAGGACAUCACUCUGUUACUCAGAGGGGCAAGGCUGAGCAUUUCCAUUGUUCAGGUCUUCAUGAUGUUUCUAAUUGACAAAUACAUCUCUUCUUUUGAUUUGUCACAUAUUGGGUUUCUUUGUCCCCAAACAAUUGCUGCAUCUAAUGUCCGUCACCAGAAUCACCAACAUCAGGUCACUGUAGACUACAUAAGGGACGUUUUCUUAUCCAGUAGGGAUAGAGGUGAUGCUGGAUACCAACUCAUAUUGGCUCCAUAUUAUGAAGAGGAGCACUGGAUGCUCAUUGUGAUCAACCUUACAUGUGGCAAAGUCUUCAAGUUCAAUUCCUCCAAGGCUAAAAAGGGGAGAUCUUUGGCCAUAAAAGGCUGUUUAGAUAUGGCUUACAAAGUCUACAAGGGUCAGGGUAGAAAGGGGCGCAAACCUAAGCUGAAAUGGUCUUCUAUUAAGUGUGCUCAACAAACUGGUGAUACUGAGAGUGGCUGUUAUGUCAUGAAAUUUAUGCAUGAGAUAGUCACAUUAUACGGUGAUUGUCAAAAUAUGGAUAAGGAGUAUCAGAGACGAGAUGAGCCCUACACUGAUGAGGAAAUCAAUGAGGUUCGAGAGCAAUGGGCGAUCUUUUUUGGAGACAAGUAUUUGUGAAAAACCUACAUAGUUGGCAUCCUUGACGACUUUUUGUAAAUAUCUUAAUCUCAAGGUUUUGCUGAAUUUCCCCCUUAAAUGUAGAGUUAAUGGUGGUGCUAGGAGACUUUUGGGGUUAUGAUGGUUUUUCAGGGAGGCAGUUCCCGCCUUCCCGGCGGUUGAGGAAGAGGGUGGUCUUGGUGGAGCUGUGUCAUUUUUAAAAAAUAUAAUCAGCUAGGAUUGAUUUUCUGUAGCAUAACCCUAUGGCCUGCGCCAAGUAAGCUCAUCAACUAGCAAAAACCAGACCUUUUGCUAUAGAAUUUAGGCAUUACAUUCUCUUAGGCCAAAAGAUCAUGGACUUGUUGCUGCCACUUGUGUACAGCUGGCCGAGCCUGCAGUUUUCAAAUUAAUGCUAGGUGCAAUUGAUGUUAUUUCUACUGGUGGUACACUGUACACGGCUACCUCUGACCUCAAUCGUGCUAUGCUGUAGUUUUAGAGAAACAAUACUCAUAUUAUCAUAUGUAUGGAAUUAUGGGUAUUUAAAACAUAUUUUAUCA